Molecule: ribosomal RNA, 440 nt
Filed under: uncultured bacterium
Lineage: Bacteria
Description: partial 16S ribosomal RNA
Rfam family: Bacterial small subunit ribosomal RNA
Source: RNAcentral
CCUACGGGUGGCAGCAGUGGGGAAUAUUGCACAAUGGGGGAAACCCUGAUGCAGCGACGCCGCGUGAAUGAAGAAGUCUUUCGGUAUGUAAACCUCUAUCAGCAGGGAAGAAAAUGACGGUACCUGACUACGACGCCCCGGCUAACUACGUGCCAGCCGCCGCGGUAAUACGUAGGGGGCAAGCGUUAUCCGGAUUUACUGGGUGUAAAGGGAGCGUAGGCGGGUUAGCAAGUCAGGAGUGAAAGCCCGGGGCUCAACUCCGGGACUGCUUUUGAAACUGUUGAACUGGAGUGCAGGAGAGGUAAGUGGAAUUCCUAGUGUAGCGGUGAAAUGCGUAGAUAUUAGGAGGAACACCAGUGGCGAAGGCGGCUUACUGGACUGUAAAUGACGCUGAGGCUCGAAAGCGUGGGGAGCAAACAGGAUUAGAUACCCGAGUAGUC